This is a long non-coding RNA of Rhopalosiphum maidis (corn leaf aphid), 310 nucleotides long. RefSeq lists it as uncharacterized. The transcript is spliced from 3 exons. NCBI's taxonomy places the organism in Eukaryota, Metazoa, Arthropoda, Insecta, Hemiptera, Aphididae. The record is from RefSeq and is a predicted model, not a curated record.
UUAAUAUAUAAAAAUAAAGUAGAAAAUAUUUUACACUAUACAAUAAUACACAACAUAAAUAGGGUUAUCAAAAUUAUUUUAUACAAGCUAUUUAUUCCUGUCUGGCACUAUUGGACUAUCCAAACACUGAAUGUCUUACUGCGUGACAAUAGUAAUCGGUACAAGAAUUUGAUAAUAAUAACCAAGCGGCGUCGUGAACUAUUUUGCAAGUGAUACGAGACAAUUUGAGGUAAGGGGUGGUGUUUGUCCCUCACACAACAUGACACGUUUUUAUGAAAAAAAUUAUUCCGCUGCAAAUUCUGAUUAUUUU